RNAcentral lists this ribosomal RNA (465 nucleotides) under Vreelandella stevensii. Its description in RNAcentral is "partial 16S ribosomal RNA". It matches the Rfam family "Bacterial small subunit ribosomal RNA", at positions 338 to 795 of the family's 1533-position model. The record is from RNAcentral. Lineage: Bacteria; Pseudomonadati; Pseudomonadota; Gammaproteobacteria; Oceanospirillales; Halomonadaceae.
CCUACGGGCGGCAGCAGUGGGGAAUAUUGGACAAUGGGGGCAACCCUGAUCCAGCCAUGCCGCGUGUGUGAAGAAGGCCCUCGGGUUGUAAAGCACUUUCAGUGAGGAAGAACGCCUGGUGGUUAAUACCCAUCAGGAAAGACAUCACUCACAGAAGAAGCACCGGCUAACUCCGUGCCAGCAGCCGCGGUAAUACGGAGGGUGCGAGCGUUAAUCGGAAUUACUGGGCGUAAAGCGCGCGUAGGUGGCUUGAUAAGCCGGUUGUGAAAGCCCCGGGCUCAACCUGGGAACGGCAUCCGGAACUGUCAAGCUAGAGUGCAGGAGAGGAAGGUAGAAUUCCCGGUGUAGCGGUGAAAUGCGUAGAGAUCGGGAGGAAUACCAGUGGCGAAGGCGCCCUUCUGGACUGACACUGACACUGAGGUGCGAAAGCGUGGGUAGCAAACAGGAUUAGAUACCCCAGUAGUC